This 215-nucleotide long non-coding RNA is filed under the name Gigantopelta aegis. RNAcentral's name for it is "uncharacterized LOC121366444, transcript variant X2". Lineage: Eukaryota; Metazoa; Mollusca; Gastropoda; Neomphalida; Peltospiridae. The record is from RNAcentral.
UGAAAAAUAAAAACAUACCGACAUUUAAACUGCAUUAUCUAAUAUCUGCUCUCGGAACUUUUUUGGUAAGAGGUCAAGCUGUCUUCCACGUGACUUCCGGUGAGCUCAUCAUAAUAUAUGCUAAUGAUGUCCAGCUAAAGUAGACCUCUACUUCAGCGACACAAUAUGGCGGGUUUUAUAGAAAAGUUUAUUCGUUAUGACUCAGAAAAGUACGA